CAUAAAAUAGUUUAAAGAAAAUACUGGUUUUGGAAAUCAGAGAUGGUAGUAUUACUUUUUUUGA
Molecule: transfer RNA, 64 nt
Filed under: Poecilasma litum
Lineage: Eukaryota; Metazoa; Arthropoda; Thecostraca; Poecilasmatidae
Description: tRNA-Pro
Rfam family: tRNA
About the family: Transfer RNA (tRNA) molecules are approximately 80 nucleotides in length. Their secondary structure includes four short double-helical elements and three loops (D, anti-codon, and T loops).
Source: RNAcentral